CCUGUUAUAAAUGUAUAUUCACUAUUGAUUUUGAACUUCAUAUAGAAAUUUGUAUUUCUUAAAAUGAUGACAGUAUGUUGUAUCAGUUUUUGCUUGCAUUCUCAAUCACAUACAAUUUUUGCAGGGUUCCCUAAUUGCUAUUAUUUUGAUUUUACAACUUUUAUAAUAAUGAAUAAGUGGUUGUGUUUCUAUAAUGGCAGGAAAGACAGUAAUAAUUUCUAAUCAGCCUUAUUUCUAUAAGAAAGCUGAACUUUUUC
RNAcentral lists this long non-coding RNA (257 nucleotides) under Gossypium barbadense (sea-island cotton). RNAcentral's name for it is "long non-coding RNA (GBAR_LNC014373)". The record is from RNAcentral. Lineage: Eukaryota; Viridiplantae; Streptophyta; Magnoliopsida; Malvales; Malvaceae.